Long non-coding RNA from Danio aesculapii, 573 nucleotides. RefSeq lists it as uncharacterized. The transcript is spliced from 3 exons. Lineage: Eukaryota; Metazoa; Chordata; Actinopteri; Cypriniformes; Danionidae. The record is from RefSeq and is a predicted model, not a curated record.
GAAUCUGUGCAAAUCCAAACAUAAGAUCCUCUAAACGUGCUCGCGCUUAGCUUUACCGCUAGCACAAGAUCCGGUCAUCAAAACAAGCGUCAUAUUAUCCCUCGAACAAGCCAACAUUGUUGCAUUUAUCCUCAAGACACAUAAUACAUCCACAGGAAUUAACGUGAUAAUGUUUGUUUGGCUGUUUUUUAGUAAAAACAUUCUUACCGUUCAUCGAUAUCAUCGGGACAGCUGUCACCUCACGCUCAUUCGCCUCAGUUGGUUCUGCGCAUGCGCACUGAGGCUCAGCGCUGUAUUGACAGCAGCUCGUGCGGUUGAAAUGGGACCGACUGCACGAGGACAUUUGGGCAUCAGAGGCCGCCACUACUUGCAGGAAUCAAUGAAGGUCUGUGCGAUGACGGAGAGGACGGGGUCCACACUAUCAGUCACCUGCACGUCAAAGACGAACUGAGGAUUCUUCAAGAUGUUGACCCAGAAACGCAAGGAUGUGAACGGUCUCCGGGUCGUCGAUGCCGUGCUUCUCAGCCAUAUCGUCCAGAAAGUCAAAGAAGAAUCUGACGGCGAUGGGUGGAG